GAAUAAACUCGUCAGCCUACUCAGGAAGUUGAGAAGUGAUUUUAGUCUGUUACCUGGCAACAUGACACAAUGAAGCACGUGGCUUUCAAAAUAAACUAUAGAGAAUUAUUGACAUUCACAACCGUAUAUAGAGUUUAAAAAUAUAUGUCAAACAAUAUGCAAAAGUGAUUUUCAAAGCCGCUUCGCAAAGUGGAUUUAUUAAACUGCACUUACCGGCAAACAAAAAACGGGAGCUUUUAUUUUGAAGGCUACGCCUUAAGAAAGCGCUAGGCGCGUGUCUCCAGGGUGAAUCCGAGGUGAGCGAUUGUUGAGAAGGACGCUGGACCAGAACUUCAUGUGAAACUGCAGUCGAUACAGAGGACGUUGUUUGUGAGGCUCUUGAUCCACGUGUCUGUCCUUUAAAAACCACGGGUCCUUUAAAACCUCGCAUUUGUCACCACGUAGGUGAAGCCUCAACGGGACGGUGGUCCACUCCGCUGAUCUUUUCGGUGGCUCCGAAAGGAAAAAAGUCCCUUUUAAUCCAAUUACUGCUCUUCACGAUGCUCGUGCCCUCCGAGACCAGCCGCGAGAUCUAUCAUUGGGAAACAAGUCAAAUGAAGCUGGGCGGCAAUGAAGGCCAUUAGAGAUAAGCUGAGCUGUUCUGCUACGCUGGAGCUGUGUGGUGGGAGGGAGUGCGCCGUCCAUGAAGACAAACGUUGGCGGACGCUCGGCAGGCGGCAAGAAUCAAAGACGGCUCUCAUCACCAUGGGCGCCAUCGCUACAGCCCCACAGCCUCUCGAUGGGAAAGCAGAGGCGGCAGAAACAGGAGUUACGGAUGGAGACGUGUGGGUUUGCUGUUUGCGUUCCAGACCAGACUCCAGGUUUCCCUAAUACAACAGCUGAAGUGUUCUGGGAACAUCUCAAACCAUUUGUCAUAACAGUUUUCAUAAGAGCUACUCUGCUGGGGGAUAAUGACAAAUGUACCCGAGGAGAGCAUAUGAAAGCGGAUGCCUGCUCUCCUCUUUGCAGCUCCAGUACAUCUCACUGCCAGCACUCCUCUUCUGCUGAUUCAAAUUCUGGACCUGAAGCACAAAGUGGGACCUCCGUGUUCCGUGGAUUAAACCAGGUUUACGUUGUGCCAGGAUGAGCCUUUGAGCACAGACAGACCCUGUGAAGUAGAAGUAAAGGCCAUGUGAGAGGGAUGAGGCUUUAUGGAUCAGUCAGUGUAUACAUUUCAAUUCUAGCUGUGUAACCUUUGAGCAGGCAACAACAGCUGCCACUUCAUUUUGUUUUGUGCCACCCAUUGUGAAUAUAUGAAUUUUAUAAAGGCAUCAGAGCAAAGUGUGAUGUAUGUGAGCUACAGUUAACGGAGCCGUUCUCAUUCCCAGGACCUUGGUCUUCAUCAAUCUUAAUGUAAGCGAUCACAGUAUAUGAAGUCAAAGUGUAGAAGACAGGACCCGGUGGUCGUGGGUCAGGAACAUGCAGUGCAGUUCUUAUGCUGUACAUACAGUAUAUCUCAUGUUAUUACUGGUUGAAUAGAAAAAGAGGCAGGAAGAAAUUCCAAUGGACAUAUGCAGUUAUUUAGUUUUCUCACCUGAAGAAGAACUGGAGCAGCAAAGUGCGUGAGCUCUGCAGAACCAAAUAGCUUCACCUUGCGAUGGAAGUCCAUGUCCACGACAACGAGCAAACUGAGGACCCCUUCAUCCAUGAGCUGGCAUGAGUGAAGCAACAUGAAAUGAACUGACCGAGUGAAAACCAGUAGGUGAGAUGCAGUCAUCACAGUUAUCACAGCCUGAAUUCAUGCACGUCAGUGACGAGUGCUGAGGUUCAUGGCUGCUGACUGAGUCUGCGA
This is a long non-coding RNA of Betta splendens (Siamese fighting fish), 1831 nucleotides long. Lineage: Eukaryota; Metazoa; Chordata; Actinopteri; Anabantiformes; Osphronemidae. The record is from Ensembl.